UACCACACCGCCCGUCACACCAUGGGAGCGGGAUGUACCAGAAGUAGGUAGGCUAACCUGGGGUAACUUCGGGAGCCGCUUACCACGGUGCGUUUCGCGACUGGGGUG
RNAcentral lists this ribosomal RNA (108 nucleotides) under uncultured bacterium. RNAcentral describes it as "partial 16S ribosomal RNA". It matches the Rfam family "Bacterial small subunit ribosomal RNA", at positions 1388 to 1482 of the family's 1533-position model. The record is from RNAcentral.